This 402-nucleotide ribosomal RNA is filed under the name uncultured Acidobacterium sp. Its description in RNAcentral is "bacterial SSU rRNA". It matches the Rfam family "Bacterial small subunit ribosomal RNA", at positions 355 to 774 of the family's 1533-position model. The record is from RNAcentral. Lineage: Bacteria; Pseudomonadati; Acidobacteriota; Terriglobia; Terriglobales; Acidobacteriaceae.
UGGGGAAUUUUGCGCAAUGGGGGAAACCCUGACGCAGCAACGCCGCGUGGAGGAUGAAGUCCCUUGGGACGUAAACUCCUUUCGAUCGGGACGAUAAUGACGGUACCGGAAGAAGAAGCCCCGGCUAACUUCGUGCCAGCAGCCGCGGUAAUACGAGGGGGGCAAGCGUUGUUCGGAAUUAUUGGGCGUAAAGGGUGCGUAGGUGGUUCGGCAAGUCUUGUGUGAAAUCUUCAGGCUCAACUUGAAGUCUGCACAAGAAACUGCCGGGCUUGAGUAUGGGAGAGGUGAGUGGAAUUUCCGGUGUAGCGGUGAAAUGCGUAGAUAUCGGAAGGAACACCUGUGGCGAAAGCGGCUCACUGGACCAUUACUGACACUGAGGCACGAAAGCUAGGGGAGCAAACA